UUGGUUAGAAUUUUAUUAAACCCGAAUUAACCAAACCGAACCGAACUCAAACCGAACCCGAAAAUAAACCAAAGUGCCCACCCCUAUUAUAGAUCAUAUAGCUUUUUAUCACACAUCUAAUUAUUAUAGAUCAUAUAGCUUUUGAUCCGAUGACAUUAUUAUAGAGCAAAAGUUCAGGAAUUUCUUGGUAAACAAAAUGUAAUAUGGUUACACACCCGUUUUAAAUCCGAACUUCCAUUUUCAAAGAGAAUUUAAAAAGCACAAUCGUUGCAUCUCUCUCUCCCUCUCAAAACCCUAGCCGCACAUAAAAAUCUCUUUGCUGCCUUUCCGGUCUGGCGACUUGUUUUGCCACCGUGAGAGGGCUCUCUGUAAGUUCAUUGUAGAUCGAGCUUCAUGAUGGUAAUGAGAAUCAAUGUGAAUCCAGGUCUCCCCUUUUCCUCUCCGGCUGUGCUGAGGCGUGGAGUAGUCGCUGCGGCGAGGCGGAGCAGUGGACGGUGCCUCUGAGACUAUUCAUGGUGCGCUCACUCCUACCGCUUCAGAUCCGCUCGAGGACAGCGGUGACGAGAUGUCGGAAGGAGAGCAAUCCAGAUUCGCUCGCUCCUAUCGCUUCAGAUCCGUUCGGGGAUGGCGGUGACGAAAAAAUGUCGGAGGGAGAGCAAUUGAUCGAUGUGUCAAUGGGUACUAGAAGCAGCUCCGUAGCGGAAAUCGUUGUGGCGGCUCGGUGGGUUGCACGGCGAGUCGAGGUGAGUUCAAGGCGCUCGGUUUUCCAGCGUUUCUCUCCUUGACCGGAUCGAGGUCUAGGGUCAGAGUUUACCAAUGGCAAAUGGUUUCUCUGGUUUGCCGUUGUCGGCCUUUUGGUAAAGUUUGAGGACCGCUUCUCCAACUGUGAACCGCAGUCGGCUAACCAGGGUUAUCCGGUUUAGUUAGGUUAUUUUGCCUGGUUUUAUCUUUGUAAACCAUUACCAAUUCCCGGUUCGGGUUGAUAAAUAAAAUAUAUUUUCUUAAAAAAAAAAAAAAAAAAAAAAAAAAAAAAAAAAAGAAAGAAAAAGAAAGAACUUCCAUUUUCGUUUUGUGAAAGUCACGUAAGAGUAUGAAACCGAUGGUUACACACCUUUUUACAUGAUUGUCCCCACUUCUCGGCAAUGUCUCUCAAAUUUCAACUAUUCGGCUAAGGUUUUGCUCACGUGUCAUUUCUCUAUUAGAGAAUCACAGAUCUCCAUGGACCCACACUCCACUCCCGGCGCGUCCGCCACAGUCGG
This 1259-nucleotide long non-coding RNA is filed under the name Eutrema salsugineum. RNAcentral's name for it is "long non-coding RNA (ESAL_LNC001482)". The record is from RNAcentral. Lineage: Eukaryota; Viridiplantae; Streptophyta; Magnoliopsida; Brassicales; Brassicaceae.